RNAcentral lists this ribosomal RNA (1015 nucleotides) under uncultured bacterium. RNAcentral's name for it is "bacterial SSU rRNA". It matches the Rfam family "Bacterial small subunit ribosomal RNA", at positions 37 to 1037 of the family's 1533-position model. The record is from RNAcentral.
GGGCGGCGGAGCUUUAACAUGCAAGUCGAACGGCAGCACGGAAAAAGCUUGCUUUUUUUGGUGGCGAGUGGCGAACGGGUGAGUAAUGUAUCGGAACGUACCCAGUAGCGGGGGAUAACUACGCGAAAGCGUGGCUAAUACCGCAUAUGCCCUACGGGGGAAAGGGGGGGAUCGCACGACCUCUCACUAUUGGAGCGGCCGAUAUCGGAUUAGCUGGUUGGUGAGGUAGAGGCUCACCAAGGCUGCGAUCCGUAGCUGGUUUGAGAGGACGACCAGCCACACUGGGACUGAGACACGGCCCAUACUCCUACGGGAGGCAGCAGUGGGGAAUUUUGGACAAUGGGGGCAACCCUGAUCCAGCCAUCCCGCGUGUGCGAUGAAGGCCUUCGGGUUGUAAAGCACUUUUGGCAGGGAAAAAAGGGCGCUGGUUAAUAGCUGGCGUUGAUGACGGUACCUGCAGAAUAAGCACCGGCUAACUACGUGCCAGCAGCCGCGGUAAUACGUAGGGUGCAAGCGUUAAUCGGAAUUACUGGGCGUAAAGGGUGCGUCGGCGUGUUGGCAAGAAAGGUGUGAAAUCCCAGGGCUUAACCUUGUAACUGCACUUUUAACUGCCAGGCUAGAGUACGUCAGAGGGGGGUAGAAUUCCACGUGUAGCGAUGAGAUGCGUAGAGAUGAGGAGGAAUACCGAUGGCGAAGGCAGCCCCCUGCGAUGAUACUGACGCUCAGGCACGAAAGCGUGGAGAGAAAACAGGAUUAGACACCCUGAUACUCCACGCCCUAAACUAUGUAAACUAUCUGUUGGGCCCAUUAGGCUUUAUUACCGCCCUAACGCGUGAAGUUAACCGCCCUGGGGAGUACCGUCCGCAAGAUUAAAACCUCACAGGAAUUGACGGGGGACCCGCUCAGCGGUGCAUGAUGUGGACUAAUCUCUAUGCACGCGUAAAUCUUUCCCUGCCUCUCACAUGUCUGGAAUGCCCUAGAAAUUUGCUGUGCUGCCUAAAGAUCGGUAACACAG